UACGUAGGGUGCAAGCGUUGUCCGGAAUUAUUGGGCGUAAAGAGCUCGUAGGCGGUCUGUCACGGUCGCUAUCGAAGUCCACGCGUCAACCUCGGGUCUGCAGGUACGAUACGGCAACGUAGAGUAUUGCGAGGGGAGACUGGAAAUUCCUGGUGUAGCGGUGAAAGUGGACGCCAGGAGUAUCAAGGGAGGGAACACCGGUGGGCGAAAGGCGGGUCUCUGGGCGAAUAAACUGACGCUGGGAGGAAGCGGAAAGCGUCGGGGAGCGAAACAGG
Molecule: ribosomal RNA, 275 nt
Filed under: uncultured bacterium
Lineage: Bacteria
Description: partial 16S ribosomal RNA
Rfam family: Bacterial small subunit ribosomal RNA
Source: RNAcentral